GAUGAACGCUAGCUACAGGCUUAACACAUGCAAGUCGAGGGGCAGCACAAGGCAGCAAUGCUGAGGUGGCGACCGGCGCACGGGUGCGUAACGCGUAUCCAACCUUCCCGUUACUCUUGGAUAGCCUUCCGAAAGGGAGAUUAAUACAAGAUGGUGUUGAAAUUCCGCAUGUUAUUUCAACUAAAGAUUUAUCGGUAACGGAUGGGGAUGCGUUCCAUUAGCUUGUUGGCGGGGUAACGGCCCACCAAGACUUCGAUGGAUAGGGGUUCUGAGAGGAAGGUCCCCCCACACUGGAACUGAGACACGGUCCAGACUCCUACGGGAGGCAGCAGUGAGGAAUAUUGGUCAAUGGUCGGAAGACUGAACCAGCCAAGUAGCGUGAAGGAUGAAGGUUCUAUGGAUUGUAAACUUCUUUUAUACGGGAAUAAAACCUCCCACGUGUGGGAGCUUGUAUGUACCGUAUGAAUAAGCAUCGGCUAACUCCGUG
RNAcentral lists this ribosomal RNA (487 nucleotides) under uncultured bacterium. Its description in RNAcentral is "bacterial SSU rRNA". It matches the Rfam family "Bacterial small subunit ribosomal RNA", at positions 28 to 507 of the family's 1533-position model. The record is from RNAcentral.